GUUGGAGUGGCAGAGCCCGGUAAUUGCUAAAGACCUAAGUCCUUUCGACAGAGGUUCAAAUCCUCUCUUCAACU
Molecule: transfer RNA, 74 nt
Filed under: Benthalbella linguidens (longfin pearleye)
Lineage: Eukaryota; Metazoa; Chordata; Actinopteri; Aulopiformes; Scopelarchidae
Description: tRNA-Leu (UUR)
Rfam family: tRNA
About the family: Transfer RNA (tRNA) molecules are approximately 80 nucleotides in length. Their secondary structure includes four short double-helical elements and three loops (D, anti-codon, and T loops). Further hydrogen bonds mediate the characteristic L-shaped molecular structure. tRNAs have two regions of fundamental functional importance: the anti-codon, which is responsible for specific mRNA codon recognition, and the 3' end, to which the tRNAs corresponding amino acid is attached (by aminoacyl-tRNA synthetases). tRNAs cope with the degeneracy of the genetic code in two manners: having more than one tRNA (with a specific anti-codon) for a particular amino acid; and 'wobble' base-pairing, i.e. permitting non-standard base-pairing at the 3rd anti-codon position.
Source: RNAcentral